Long non-coding RNA from Chinchilla lanigera (long-tailed chinchilla), 3602 nucleotides. RefSeq lists it as uncharacterized. Lineage: Eukaryota; Metazoa; Chordata; Mammalia; Rodentia; Chinchillidae. The transcript is spliced from 3 exons. The record is from RefSeq and is a predicted model, not a curated record.
AUGAAAAUAAACACAGUAAGUAAUUACGCUGGCAUCCCAGGGUGGUGGUACGGGCUUUCUAACAAGGGAGCGAAGAGUCAGCUGCAGUGGCACUGCCGUCCCUUGCUUCUAAAGCCCGGGAGCAGGGCAAGCGCUGUGGGAAGGUGGCAGAGGAAGGGGCAGAGGACAGGGUGCCCGUCCUGGGGUGUCACCCCGGCCCCACCGCAUCUUGUUGGUCUCAGCUGCAAUCGUGAGGAGGAUGAGCUCACCCCUAGGGGCACGUUUACUGACACCUCCACUCUCUGCGGCGGUCAGGUUAUUCAAGGACAAGGUGAGGAAGGAUGAACAGAGUCCUGAGUGGGCUCCAGGAGGGCCGCGGCGAGCCCGGGUCUGCUGUUAACAAGCUGGUGACAUUAGGUGGGCUGCUUUUGAUCACCGGUUCUCACCUGACAUGCCCAGGUUAGCCGAACAGUUCUUUAGCUCUAACAUCCUAAGAAUACUCAGAACAUUUAGCAGAGGUUCCAUUCUUUUUAAACAAUUGAACUGACCUUGAGGCUCUUUUCACAAAAUUUAAAAAAUAAAUCUUAGGAAGGAAUUAAUUUGGAUUGCACAGUCUGCCCUGCAUAUCUGCAGACUUUGUGCCCACACAUUCAACCAACUGUGGAUCAAAAGUAGUUUUUUUUUUAAAAAUUGCAUUUGUACUGAACAUACAUAGAUUUUUUUCCUUGUCAUUAUUCUCUAAAUAAUAGGGUAGCUUCUACUCAGUAGCACAACUAUUUAUAUAACAUGUAUAUUGUAUUAGCCAUUAUAAAUAAUGUAGACAUGGUCUAAGUACAUGGGAGAGUGUGGGUAGGUUCUAUGCAAAUGUCAUGCAAUAUUCCUUCAGGGACUUGAGCACCUUGGACUUUGGUGUCCAUGGGGACUCGUUCCCCAUGGAGGUCAAGGAUGAUGUAUACCUGUCCCCAUGGAUGUCAAGGAUGACUGUAUGCCCGUCCCCGCGGAUGUCAAUCACGGCUGUAUUCCCAGCCAGUCAUUUAGACGCUAUCUAUCUCAAUGAUGUGCCGGCUCAUUUUAGUCCCCAAACCAAGCUCAAGUCUUCAGAGGCUGAUCUGUGAAUCACUACACAGCUAAUUUAUAAAUAUAUUUUAUAAUAUAGUCACCCUAUAGUGGCUUUCUUCACCUAGAACAUAAAAGAACCAGAUGGUGUUUCUGAUUUACACCUGGAUUGCUUACGCCACUGGAGUCUCCAUGAAAUUGAAAGAAUUGGCUGCCACCUCUCAGAAGUAGGUGUUAAAUUUCUUGUAACUGGCAUGUGUGUCAGGAAGGCUCUGCCAACCAUGGCUUCCUAUCAGAUGGGGCCCAGGGCAUAUGCUGCCCGCAGCAGGGCUGCUUCUCACCGUUGGGGGUCCUUCACGCCUCAGUGUCUUUAGGGGAAAUCAUCACGCUUUCCUUUCUCUAAACUCUUCUUAAACUUAUUUCAAAAAGUUAGCAGGUCUAUAUUUCACAUUACAAGCAUGCCAGACUUGUGGCAAUGCACAUUACUGUUUCUUUGCAUUUCUCCUAAAUCGACCCUUUUCCAUUUCCGAGGGUGGGUGCACCUCUGCCUUACUCCUCCACCACACGUUCAGCCAGGGAUCUGGUUCGGAACUGAAGGAUGCCCAGCCUCCGUCUGCUGCAGGGAGGUACCGCCGUGGUGGGAAGACGGGCCUCUGCGCCGCACCCUGACCUUGAGUCUGACUGCCCCUCAGACCCGUGGGCCGCACCCGCCAGCGAGGACGCUGCCCCUGCGAGCGCUCGAGAGGAGUCCACAGCACAGGGUUCUUUAACAACACCCUAGAACUAUCAGGUGUAAAAUACAACGUACGGAGAACUAAGAGCACAUACGAGCGUGUCUACGCUGAGAACGUGUGCCCGUGUUCGUCUGCAUGUAUUAUUUGUCUACAGCUGCUACAGAAAGUCUGCGCAACCCUCUCCCCAGCUCCGGCAGUGGAGUCCUCAGAGGUAUGCAAGACUGUGGGUCUCAGGGUGAAUGACAGCAGCAUCAGGCCAUUCCAGCUGCUUCCUCCAAGUGCACACGAUCAUCGCCCCCAGGGAGGCCCAGGCAGCUGAACCUAACAGUGACCCUGGGCACGGUCCUCUCUCAUCUCCGUCCUCUAAGCUCAGGGUAAGUGCCGCUGGAAGCGGCUGCUGCCUAGACGCUUCGUGUCUGCUGUCUGGCUAACUUUGCUGGUGCUGCUGCUUCUCUGUAUUUCAGCUAAUGCUUGAGAGCAGACAACGCACAGCUCCAGGUGGUGUGGAAACGGCUGUGUGCUGCUGCUGUGGACCAUUACAGUAGCCAAGCCCGGAAAACAAGGCAAGGAGUGGGCAAGGGAAGUGAGCGCUCGGGUCCGCAGUGAGCCCAGCAUGCAGACUGAAGACUGUCCAGGCUAAUCUUCUGCUUCACGCAGCGUGUCAAAGCUACUCAUGCUGGGACUUCUUCCGUUUCCUGAAAAUGGCUUGCCUAGUGCCGCGUGACAGGUUCUCCUCGAGAACCCAGAAAGCUUCACCCGACAUUCACACCCUAUAGCACUCCAUCUGCUCCUCUGUCCGAGAAAGAUUGUGCUGAGAACAUUACAGCUGAGGCCAGUGGUCACCCACGCUCAGCCUCAUGGUCAAGCAGAUCGUGCAUCGUGCUUGGGGAGUAGAAGAGAAGCUAGGUGCUGACGCAACACACACACGCGCACGCGCGCGCACACACACACACACACACACACACAGAGACACGUGUAUAAGCGCAGCCUCCCCCAAGAGUUUAGGGGACUCUCUGGACCCUCCCCCUGGAACAGUCCAUUUAUAUGAAUAUGCAGAGCUUUGCCAUCAGUUGGGACAGGGAUACAGUUUUUCCGGAAACUUUGCAUUAAAGGAAAAAUAUAUUUAAAAUAUAUUUAAGGAGUAAGAACUUCUUUGAGAUUCUUAAUUUAAAAGAAGCAUGUACUUCGCCACUUUGCAUCUGUUCUCUCAGACUAGGGUGCGCCUUCCCACCCCGCCGGGUUGCGGGGAGAGAUCCUAUCAGGCCAGCGGAACCUUCCGGGUGUUAUUUCACACUUCUUGUUCUUCUCUUGGGUGUCAAGUGUGGGAUUUAAUCUUUCAUGUAGGAGGUUCUUUAUUUAAAGCUUUGUAAAUAGUUCAAAAAGAUUCUUUUUCUGGCCAAGGCACUUUGCCCUAUUUUGUAAGCGUUAGCGAUGACAGGCCCUGGCUUAGACUUUCUACGUAGAGGUCAGAUUCUAUUAUUAAUUGCCAACACCACUUAGGAAGAAAUGAGUUUGACAUGUAAAUGAAUAAACCCUGAAGACAGAUAUGUGAUUCUAAAAUGUACAGGCAAAAGUGAAGGACUUAUCCCCCGGAAGUUGCACCUGUGCACCCUGAUACUUCUCUGCGUGACAAAGUGUGGGCAUAUUUUUAAUGUGAGUGUCUUGGUUUUUCUGGCAAGUUAAAAGGCAUCGCUCCCAGAAUGAGUUCCUGCUGCUACUGACGAGCCAUCAACUGCACGCUCUCAAGGCCUCCUCUCCUAACCCCGCCAAGCUGCGGUCUGAUCCACAGCAGAAGUUGCCUGUGACCGAGACUGCUCAAAGCCUGGGAGUCUG